This 5440-nucleotide long non-coding RNA is filed under the name Podarcis lilfordi (Lilford's wall lizard). The record is from RNAcentral. Lineage: Eukaryota; Metazoa; Chordata; Lepidosauria; Squamata; Lacertidae.
GAUCAAUUCUUAAGGGACACACACACAAAGCGAUGAUAUCUAGUCAAGGCUCAGGUAGUGUACAAGGCGUGUACCUAAGAGAUGCUGUGGCUUGAUAGAUGGACAGGCAGAGAGAUCAAUCUGCUUUUGCUCUCCACAAGACAUGAAUACCAUCAUUGUCCUUGCAUCAGGGGAACAUUAGUUUGAAGGGCUUUCCAAAGGUAAAAUGUUUUCCUCGUAUCAAGCUGCUUGCUUAUUUAAGAGACAAUUCAGGCAUAUCAACAGCACACCAUGCUAACUCCAGGACCGGGGGCGGGGCUUAAGCAAGUCACUCUGCAUGGAACCCUUCCAUGCCUCAGUAAGUCUACCUGUUCACUACAGAAGCUCCAAGUUGUCUUGUAAAUGGGCCUCCUCCAUUAUUCACAUAAUUACCACCAGCCAAUUAAAAGGGGGGUUAUGAAAACGACUCUCCUUGAAAUGUGAUGUCUGAGGCAGGGUGAAGCCAAAGCUACUUUAACAUAGAGGUGGGGAAGCUAAAGCCCUCCACAGGUUGUUAGAUUGCAGCUCCCAUCACCCCAGGCCAAUGGCUUUGCUGACUGGGAUGUAUGGGAGUUGGAGCCUAACAACCUCUGAAGGGUGAUAGAUUGGCCACCCCUACUUUAGCAUUUUUGAAGCACCCUUUUCUCAAUAAUCUUUAUAACAGCUUGACAUAAUUUGCCCUUCACCAUAGACAUUUGCUGAGACUGGCUUUUCAAAGGUCACCUAGUGAAUUUAUGCCAAGGUGUUGAACUAAGGAUCACCUGGUCUGUUUGCUUGUUUUUAGGAUAAACACUGUAGCCUUAGCCACUAGACUAUUCCAGUUCUGAUUAUGCAGAAAGCUUGCUGUGCGGCAAGAAGCAAACCACAAGCUGUCCGCUAUAAUAAAACUUCCACUGGAGAGAUCACAAAGAGCUGGUUUUCCUUUAGACAAUUUCACAUGCCAGGAAAAUCCGUUCUAGUUAGCCUAACAAGAGGGCAUCUUGAGGACAAUCUGGAAAAGCAGCUCCAAGUAUGCAGAAUUGGUGUAAUAUACAUGUGUAAACUAGCAAAAGCAAUGCCAGUAUUGAUCGUCCUUCCACAAGAGUGUAGUUAGGUUGCAUGCAGUGAUUAGUCAUCACUUCCACUAACUUUGAAAACCCCCAGAAUGCCUCCCUGUCAUGUACAGUAUGAGUUCCUGCAGCCAGCUAUAGUAAAUCAAGCCUCAUAAGGCAUGCAAGAUGCUUUUUUAAACUGCUGACACCGGAGAAUGACCCCACCUGCUGGAUUACAGCAAUAAUGUGCAUAUUUGGACCCCACAAGGAGAUCAAGGUAGCAGACAUAGAAGAUACUUUACUGGGUCCUAGCAACAAUCUAGUAUUGUACUCUAGGCUGAGAGAUAGUAUCCAGCUCAAGACAACUCUUAGUAGCCUCAUAGCUGACCAGGAGUUUCAUCUAGGGUGGCCACAUUAUCAAAACAGAGGAGCCGCAUCACUAAAAGGAAGGCAUAUAUUUGCACAAACGUAUUUGCACCUAGUUUGAGCAGGUGAUCUGUAUGCUUCCUCAGUCUCCUGCCCAGAUGCUUAUGAUUGAUGGGCAACUUCAAGGUCACUGCUAUCCCUUCUUAUGUUUAAGCAGCACUGGACAUGACAGCCCUUGAAAUAGAAAACUCUCCUUUAUAAAGUGGAACAUGUGGACACCCUAAUUUCAGCCUGGGCUCCUCAAACCAAGUCCAACCCUUCUGCCAUUGUACCAACAGACUUAAAACAGCAGCUCAAAAGAUUGGACAAGCAGCUAGAUGAGAACUUCCAAAAUGAGGGAGUGGUAGAAUUACUGUAACAGAUUUCCAAUGAGUGCUUUCAAAUCUCCAUCAGUAGAGAUGUUUAAAAGUAUGACAGACAGGCAUUUUAUUGGAUUACUUGGGGUUGCUUCAGUGCCUGAAGAAGGUCUGAAAAUUAGACCCCUUACAAUCAUGUUUGGUUUUCUAUACAAAGGUGAUGAAGUACAUCUCUGCUGAUGAGGCAUAGUCCUCUAGCAAGGAUAGCUUGGUGUAAGUUCCUUCAUCUAGCAAGGGGCUGGACUUUAUGAGGCCCCUUCCGAGUUUAUCUUUAUAUGUAGGAAAGUAUGGGGGUGAGUGUCCUUAAAAGGCUACAAAUGAAAAGGAGCAUUCAUUCAUGGUGCAAAACACAUCUAGACAGAAAUGUCAUAUUUAACGGCAGAGGCUGAGAAAACUGUCCUUGAAGGCAUCAGCCUAGUGUGGCAGCAGGACAAAAGGCAAAUAUGAUUAUAGGUUCAUCAGAGGAAGCAGGGAAUACAAAUCCUCAGAAAUUAUGUUGUUGUUAUUCAAGGCACAGAGUUUAGACUUUAUCUAGUAGACAGGCUUCAGGUUUGCUCAACUAUUCAUAGAUAGACUAUUGCUGGCUUGGAGCCAUUGUGGCACACAGCAAAAUGUUCUCUUGUGCGUGUGUGUAUUUUUAAAAAAGGAGACUGCUAAAGAAGCAAAGUUUAUCACUGAUCAGUAAAAGCAAUUUAGCAAUAUGUAACAAGGAUUCUUUUUUAAAGGCAGGAACAGAUAAAGAGUAGAAAACUGUUGGCAGUGGUAGGUGUUUAGAGAAGGCAAGUAACCCAGGCAGAGACAUAUUUUUGGAUAAUUAGGAAAUAAAGAGUAACACAGAGAAAUCAGGCAGAACUAUUUUGCUCUAGUAUCAGUAAACAUGCAAAAUAGCUCAUUUGGUACAUGUGACAAAAGCAGUGAGGUAAACAAAUUAAAAGUUAGAUAAGUUUAUGUAAAAAAAGAAGAAAACAUCUCAUUGCAAUCUAAUCAUGAGUACAACUUGAGAAGCCAGUGCUAAUGAGCUGAGAUUUAAAAAAGUCAAGGUUCUUCUCCUGAUUUUUAUUUUUAUACCAUAAAACCACAUUGUCAAUGACUGCAGAUACAUUGGAGCUCUGCUGUUCUGUUAUCCUGUUACUACAUUUAGAAGGCUAAUUUUACUACCUGCCCACAUGUGCGAUAAUUUCUACAGUCAUUAUUUAGAGUGGUACCUCAGGAAUGCUUGUUUCUGAAGGUGUAUAUUGGGUGUAGGAGGGAGAGUCUCUACACUGAAGGGAGUUGGAGUCAAUCUACUUGAGGGCACCAGGUUGAGUAAAGUUGAUGUAGUCAAGGUAUCUUCAACCUUUCAGAACUUUUAACCCAAACAUGCAUUUGAGGACCCACUUCUUAAUCAUUUAUGAUCUAUUUGCAUGGUGGUAGUGCUCAUGUUGUGACCCACUCGUGGGUCCUGACCUGCUGGCUGAAGAUGAGUGAACUGUAGCCCAUACCAUCUAAAAGCAAGGUCCACUUUGUAAUGGGUCAUGGUGAUGCGCUAAAUUGGAUAAGGUACCCUAAUCACCCAAGACUUUUGCAGAAGGGUGUGCAAAGUAUCUCUUACAGGGUGUUAUUCUAACCAUGUCUUCUCAGAAAUAAGCCUUGUUGAAUUCAGUGGGGCUUACACCCAGGUUAGUGGGGUUAUGACUGCAGCCUUAGUUGUUUUUGGAAACCCAGCAUCCCACAUCCAAACAAAAAAAGAGUGCCACUAUACCUAUAUUGCAGCUGCUCACACAUACAAAAUAUAGACAAAUUCCCUAAAUACAGAAUUAAGGAAUUCUAGGUUCUUUUCAGCCACAGCUGCCGUCUGUCUCUCUGUGGAAGUGUGUGAACUUGAAUCUGUUGUUUACAUACUUCCAUAUCCUUUGUUGGAACAGAAAUGAGAUGCUCUUGUCCCUUCCAGAGUUGUUAAAUCAGUUUUAACUCACUUGAACUUCUGAUUUAUCCUGUCCAGGACUUGUUAUCUCUGCCUACCUGAUUCUGUUAAGAUGUGUUCAUGAUGUGCUAGAAUUGGGGAUCAUGGGCAUCUGUAGUGACAGAAGUGCUUUUAAGGCAAGGAAAUAUCCCUAAAUACAGGUUUGAAUAAGCUGCCCCUUGGUAACCCUUUUUUUUGUGUGUGUUUGCUACUUAACGAUAUUUUGUUUGCAUUGAGUCAUAUAAGGAGGACCUGCAUACUGGCUGAAUAUAUUAUUUUAAUUUCAGCAGGUUUUGGAUCAAGUCUGCAUUAUUAAAUGUGUCAAGCAGGCACAGUAAUGCGGUGAUGCCUGUCCCAGAUAUGUCACCAACAAUGUAACACACAUAAUACGAAUUGUGUUCUUUCUUCAAAGUGCUCUGCUAAUGCUAAACUUGAUCCUCAGUGCAUUAAACAUGUAAGGGAGCCUGCUAAUUUCAGUCUGACUGCUCAGUUGAGGGUUUGGUAUAUCUAAAAAUGAACACUCACCAUUAUCAUGUUCAGACAGGAUAUUCCAGCAGCCUAAUUUUCCUCACAUUGGUUGUGAGCUUUUGGGAUGAUUUUGUUGCAACAUUUUCCCUUCCAAACAAUAUUUUUGGAAGCAGACAUGUGACAAAUGCUUUGCUGAGAAGCUUAAUCUACCUAGAUUCUGCCCUGUGACAUAAUACAUUGUUCUCCUCCAGAUGUUCCUUCAUGGAGUAAAAAUGUUACAUCAAAAUUGGAGCUGUGGAGUAUGGUCUUAACCUUCCUUCCUUCCUUCCUUCCUUCCUUCCUUCCUUCUCUUUCUUCUCUUUCUUUCUUUCUUUCUUUCUUUAACAGCUUAAUUUUUUUUAACAGAAUCUAAGCAGUGUUCAACAGUAGCAAUCAACAUAAAACCACCAAAACAAUAUCCUAAAAACAGAGAUAAAAAUGCCAUUGGUACACAUCAAAAUAUAAGCUUCAUGUAUGACAGAGCAAAGGGCAUUACAAAAUGUAACAAUUUCAACAGUGUUGGUCCUAUUAACCACAGUUUACUGGAUCAAGAUCAAGCCUGGUGCCAAAAAGUCCCUGCUCCAACCUUCCUCCACUUACCUCUCUUGCACCUUUAUUGCAGAAUUUGAGGGGUUUGUUAGACCACAGUUUCCUGUUUUGUGCAUUUUAAACUCUGACUGCACUCCAGUACUGGAGGCCAUGGUUUUAUCUUUGUUUGGAACCUAGAUUAGUUAUGUCUCAUCCAGGUCAGUGUGGUGUUGUUGACUAAAUGACAGAACUUGGGAAAAGGAAUACCUGAGUUUGAACCUCAGCUCAGCCAGGAAGUUUAUAAGGUGGUUUUGGGAAGCUACUAACUUUUAUUUUUUAUUUUUUUGGUCUUCCUAUCACACAUAUAAUGGGAUAUAAUACUGAGUUCCUUACGGGAAGUGAUGGAGUCUAAAUAAAUUAUCCUUUUGCAUGUUUCUUUAGCAGAAUUAAAAAGGGAACAGCAAUAUAGAGCACGUACAUCCAGUCCUGUUGAGUAUCAGACCUUUGGUGUUUCAGCUUUGUCACAGAGUGGGACUGGAUGCUUGUCUGAGGUGGUCUGUCGCAGAGCAGACAUUUCUAUCAGCAGCAGAAAGCCUUAUGAGGAUAUGUUUCAAAAUAAUAAGAAUAAUGAC